This 377-nucleotide ribosomal RNA is filed under the name uncultured bacterium. Its description in RNAcentral is "bacterial SSU rRNA". It matches the Rfam family "Bacterial small subunit ribosomal RNA", at positions 521 to 896 of the family's 1533-position model. The record is from RNAcentral.
UAAUACAGAGGUGGCAAGCGUUGUUCGGAAUUACUGGGCGUAAAGGGCGCGUAGGCGGUCUUGUCAGUCCCUUGUGAAAUCCCUCAGCUUAACUGGGGAACUGCGUGUGAUACUGGAUGGCUUGGAUUUGGGAGAGGGAUGCGGAAUUCCAGGUGUAGCGGUGAAAUGCGUAGAUAUCUGGAGGAACACCGGUGGCGAAGGCGGCAUCCUGGACCAAUAUUGACGCUGAGGAGCGAAAGCCAGGGGAGCAAACGGGAUUAGAUACCCCGGUAGUCCUGGCCCUAAACGAUGAAUGCUUGGUGUAGCGGGUAUCGAUCCCUGCUGUGCCGAAGCUAACGCAUUAAGCAUUCCGCCUGGGGAGUACGGUCGCAAGGCUG